CAGACGAGGAAGACACUUGCAUGAAAUUUCCAUUGGGGUUAACAGUCAGUGAUUUGGGCCUUGCUCUAUCAGUUGCCAAGCAAUCAGAUCAUUGCCAGCUUUCACCUUCAUCUCCCUUAAAACGCUCACUUUUGGAGUCUUCAUCUUGCUAGGACCUUUGACCUGACCAACAGCUUCACGGGUUCCGAUUGUCAAAGACGUUCUUAUGGUCUUCCUUUUCUGACGACGGCCGACGCUGCUCGUUGUCGACAGUGAGGUCACAUGGGCUCCAAGAAGCCAGACACUUGAUGAUGGCCGCAGAGUUUCAUGGAUGCGUGUUCAAAUUGGUGAGAACGCGAUAGAAUCGACAGAACAUUGCCCGCUUUAUCCUCCCAGAAAGAACUUUCCCCGACCUCUUAAUCAAACAGCCUAGAGUGUACUCCAAACUGGUCAGACUGGUUUAUGAUUCACACACAACGCUUGUCGCAAAUAAUGAACGAAGUUGAUAUGGUAAUCGCUUAAAAAUCUGCUUUCAAUCCCAAAAUAGUGUUUUGUUAAGGAAAAAAAAAAAAAAAACUACACUCCGGAAACGAUGACAUCUAGGAGAAAGCAUGGUCAACUUUACACGCAGUCAGCUUCUUUCCCCAUUGGGCUUCUUGCUGGUGAUGUCCAUUAGUAAAAUAAAACUUAGCAAAGCCAGCAUGCUUUGGUGUGGCUAUACAAAUAUCCUUAAAUUAGGUUAAUAUUUUUUUAAAGUGAAAAUCUGAAGUUUUCUACUAUAAGAGUUGCAUUUUUGGGGACAUCCAUGAUCAGAGUGUUUCUGUGGGCUGCAGUAUACAGCGUUGUCGUGUGUUUUAUGUGUAACGAUUAAAGAAUGCAUAAUUUAAGAACUUUGCCUACUGGAUUUUGUCUUAUGGUUUUACCUGCUUUUGAACUUGUCAGAUUUGCGUGGCUAGAAAAAAAUUUGCCAGAGGCACUGACGCAGCAACUUGCUGUGAGAACGGGGAUAACAUCACGAAUAUAUUUUUACCUUCACAUCUUUACUAAACGCUUUCGUGUGUGUUUAAUAUUUUUUUAUCUCCUAUAAAUGGCGAUAUUGUUUUUAUUGCCAUUGUGAGUCAGAGGCAAUGACUAUGUUUAGAAUUCUUUUAUUGAUUGACGAUGAUUGUAAUAAUGAUAAUAAUGGCAGUGUGCAGUCAAAACAGGGCGAUGUGUGAAUCUAGGUAAACGCAUAAUAUAUUAUGUUGCAUAGUGUGCUUAAAAAAAACUUCAGGAAAAUUACCAAAAGUGAAAUGCUAAAUUUUGUCUUGGUUUAAACACGAAAUAUUGCAAACACCAGUUUAGUGCAUGAAUACAUUAUAGUGUGACUUAUUGGGGAGGUACAGACCGUUGGGCGUGAAGCCUCAUCACAGCCUUUUGAAAUGCUGUCGCCAUAAACAUGGAUCAUGUGAGUAGGUGAAAGUCAACGGGACAGGUUUGUCCUCGGGUCAAGGGUGUAUUUGUGGGUGGUGUCAAUGUGCGCUAGGACGGUAACUGUUCUGACUGUUGGUGAGCAUGGCAAUGGUGAAAGACGAUGUACUUCUUAAUAAAGAAAAAGAAAAAA
Molecule: unclassified non-coding RNA, 1582 nt
Filed under: Pomacea canaliculata
Lineage: Eukaryota; Metazoa; Mollusca; Gastropoda; Architaenioglossa; Ampullariidae
Description: galactosylceramide sulfotransferase-like, transcript variant X5
Source: RNAcentral